RNA transcript from Octopus bimaculoides (California two-spot octopus), 8094 nucleotides. RefSeq lists it as uncharacterized. NCBI's taxonomy places the organism in Eukaryota, Metazoa, Mollusca, Cephalopoda, Octopoda, Octopodidae. The record is from RefSeq and is a predicted model, not a curated record.
CACCGCUGUUUAAAGACCAACCGGAAGUCACAUGGUUACUUUAGAAAUUUUUUCAUCCCACAGCAAUAGCAGACAGGUUUAAUAAGAAACAUGUGUAAUUAGCAUGACUAGAACAAAUGGGUAUUAAGGGGCCAAACAUUGCUUCUCGCCUCAUUAAAAGAAUUACAAGCAAAAGUUUUUUGUUUCUAUCUGGCUUACUAUUAAUAAUUGGUAAUGAAUAUGUUUUACAUUUUGCCCACUAUCUCCAAUGGGCACCUAUCCCUGUGGAAACAAGACAUGAUGGAGACAUGGUGCUCCUGCUUGUUUCAGACCCACAAAUACAAGGUUACCAAAGAGAGCCAGCCUUUCCAGUAGGGUAUUUUUCACGAUGGGAUGCAGACAGGUACAUAAGCCGUUCAUUUAGUAUGGCAUUUCUCCACUCCUCACCAGAUAUCAUUCUUUUCCUUGGUGAUCUAAUGGAUGAAGGUAGUAUCGCAACCAAUGAAGAAUAUGAGUUGUAUUACCAAAGACUGCAGAAUAUUUUUCAGGAUGCUGCUGAAACCAAAAAAAUCUAUGUUCCUGGAGAUAAUGAUAUUGGGGGUGAAGGCUUUGACAGAAGAACAAGUGAAAAGAUAUCACGCUUUGAAAGAUACUUUGAAUAUUUAACUGGAGCUGUUAAAUUCCGAUUUGCUUCUUUUUUCAAGUUGGACGUCCGUUUCUUUGAACCAUUUUUACCCAAGCACAAGAAGAUACUUCAAGAAGUUGGUGAAGAAAUUUACAUGCCAUUCCGAAUCAUUUUGAACCAUGAAUCAAUUUCUCCGAAACUAAAGAGCCAUAUUUAUCCUUAUUCCUAUGUGUUGCAGCUAUUGAAGCCCAUUCGACCACACAUGGUCAUAUCUGGUCACUGGCACAAGGCAAAUUUAUUCUUGUGUGAGGAUUGCUUGUCACAAGAAAAUGAUGAUGGUGAUUACUGGCCUGUGACAAAACGUGACCUCACAUCAGAAGAAAACUAUAUUGAAAUCAAUUCUGAUGAGAAAAGUACUUUAGUUGAGAUUAUGGUGCCUACCUGCAGCUAUCGGAUGGGUGAACCUAAGAUGGGUUAUGGUGUUCUGGUUAUAAAUGACAAUGGGAAUAUCAAGUAUAUGACACUGUGGCUGCCACCAAGAUACAUCUCGUUAUUUAUGUAUGCUGGAUAUGCAAUAUUCCUCUGCAUAGUAAUUAUCUGCCAGAUCCUAAGGAAGCUGUUUUCAGCUAUGCGGCGAUUGCUAACCCGAACACAGAAUAAACUGCCAUCGUCUGAAAUAUAAAUAUUAUAAAAGUGCAAGGUAGCAAAGAGAAAGAAUCUACAUUCCUGAUUUUAUUAUUCAGAAACCUUGAUAAAGAAUGAUGCAUUAUCACCAAGUCAAACCAAAGAAAGAAAAAAUGUGAUAUUAUUGCUUUUUCCCUUUUUUGUUUUUUUUUUUUGUUUUCAAACGAUUUUAUUAUUUUCAAACGAUUUUAUUAUUUUCAAAGAUUCUAGAAAAUCGUUUUAUUCUCUAAUGCAUUCCAUGUUUUUUCUAGAAUCUAUGUAAUCCGUAGAAUGCAACAUAAGCCAAGAUAUUUCUUUUCUUAUAUAUGGACAUCAUAUAUCCUCGCUUCCAAAAUUCCUUUUCAUCAGCAUUUUUUAUUUAUUGCAUAGGUUUACAAAAUGGAACAUUUUGAAAAUUGUUUUGAUAAUUGUAUGUUACUCUAUAUAUUUUUGUGGUGCUAAUUCAAAAUAUCAAACAAGCACUUUCCCUUACCUAAGGUUUUCUCAUAACUUAAUGCUAAAAUAUACCAUAAUUUGUAGGUAAAUCUGCAAACGGUAGGACAAAAUGAAACUAAUAAAAAUUAAUUUGGUACUUUAUUUAGCAAAAUAAAAUGGCACAAAUGCAAUUGAAGUGUGAGAAAGUAGAUUUUUCCAUUCAUCCUUUGGUUCAGCACCUGAAAAUCUCUUCUUUUCCACUUGGAAGUUAUACCUCUUGUGAGCAUUUGGACAUUCAUAUUGACAUCAUAUUGACAUUCCAUCUUCCCUGAUAUUUUCUUUCCAUCUCCUUUCUGUCUUAAUGAAACCUUUUUCCUUGCUCUUUACUCACAUUACCGAGAUUUUCCAGAAAGAAAUCCUAAUGGGCAUUUAGGAAAUGAACUUUAAUGCACAUUUUACAUUCCAAAGCCUCCAAAUUUUCCAGUAUUCUUCCCACUAUGUCUUUGUAGUUUGGAUCUUUGUGAUUACCCUAGAAGUUUUUUUAUCACAUCGUUAAAAUUAAUCCAGGCAUCUUUAUAAGAAUCACUAAGAGAAAUUUUCAAAAUUUUCAUCCUUGACAAGUUUCCUUAUAUCUUGCAAAUACACCCUCUUCAACCUGGACAUUUGCUACAGAAAAACUUGAAGACCUCUCCAUCCUGUGGCAAAGCUUUUAUGAAUUGCUUCAUGAAACCAUGUUUUAUAUAAAGAUGGAGCAAAACUUUCUCAAAGGAUAUUCUUUAUUCCUGAUGUAAGCAUAUCCCUACUUCGCCAAUAUUUUUUUUACACAAAUAGAGGCUCCUGAUUCUACUGUCCAAUUCACAUAAGAAACAAGGAAUCUUUGUGUAGCUUGACUGUUGUCCAAGCAACUGCAAAUUAUUUCCAAGUUCCUGCAAAUCAUUUAGCUGUGAUCUUUGAAUUUAAUCUUGUGUAAGAAUGACACCAAAUUUUCAUGUUUCCUUCAUGAUCACUAAGUGUCCAACAGAGAUGGAAGCAUAUUUAUUAUCAUUAUGCAGUAGAGCAUCUUGAAGACUUUUCUUCAAAGAGUCAAUAAAGAGUUUCCAUUCAUCAGGCUGUAACUUAUGCUAAACUUUCCUAUUAGACCUGAUGGAUCUGUUCAAUAAUCUAAAUUAUUUUCUAGAGUGAAAAAAGGAACAAAUUCUAUCACAGUUAUGACACCAACAGAAUGUUGUUAUUGUUGAGGCCUGUUCAGUCCAUUAUAUUACUUUCCUUACAAAAUUAGCCUCAAAAUCAGUUAUCCUCAUUAUCUCAAUGGCUUCUGAAUAAGGCACAAGGCUAAUAAUUUUGAGAAGGGAGCUUAAUCAAUACCAUCAUGUCCAUUAUUUGGCUGGUAUUCUAUUUCAAGAGUCCCAAGAGGAUGAAAGGCAAAAUUAACCUUGGCAGGUUUUGAACUCAGAAUGUUAGAAGAAAUACCACUAAGCAAUUUUUCCAAUGCUCUAAAUGUUCUGCCAGCUUACUCACUGUCUUUAUUGUCAUUACCUUAAUAAUGAGUGGGUGGGUUAACAGAACUGGUAGAGUGCUUGACAAAAUGCCUUGUGGCAUUUAGUUUUAUCCCUUGAUUGGCCCUUUAUUGUGUUCAACUUACACUAGGGUCAACUUUACCUUUCUGCUUUCCAAGUCAAUAAAACCAUCAACAAUUGGAGUUGAUAUAACUAAUUAUAGCCCUCCCACAUGAUCUUGAAAAUCAUGGCAGAGUUCGUAGGGUGACAAGCAAAAUAAAAUGUCCUGAAGGAUUUAGUUGUUACUUUAUAUUCCAUGUUCAGAUCUCAUCAGAGUCAACUUUGAUUUUCAACCUUCCUGGGUUGAUAAAAUAUAGUACCAGCCAAAUACUAAGAUCAAUAUAAACAAAUCUUGCUUUCCUUCAAAAGUGUAGUCUUGUGCCAAUAUUAGAAAUCAUUAUUAUUGUAAGCAUAGCUAACAAAAAACAAGAGGUAAUCUCCUGAGGAGAUAAGUCUACUCACCUCAGGAAAGGUACAAACAUCACAUAAACCUAUUCUCUUCGCCAAUAAAAUAUAUGGCCUUAUCCUUAAUUAAGGAAUAAAAAUAUGGUUUCUUUAAUUAAUUUAUGACUACUUUUUUUAUUAUAAUGAUUAUACUAUUAAUUGUUAUUGAUUAGAUAUACUUUACACAUUGAAAAUCAUCUAUGCUCCUCAAUAUUAUUGGUUCCCCACUCUAACAGAAUGUAAUUCCAAAUGAAAGUAGAAAAUAGCUUUCUAAGAAAGUGUACUAUAGAGAUUAUUUUAAAAAUCUGAGACACAUACACACAUUUAUUUAAUUUAGUGACAUACUAUAUCUGCAUCUCUUGUUGAAGUACUGCAUAGUCAGUGAUAGUCUUCAUUGAUUACUGAUGGAUGAAACUUAUUGGCACCACAUGCAUUAUGUCUUUCAUUUCAUUUCAGUGGUUCAGGUUUCACACAACAAUGAAAUACUACCACUUUCACUGGUUCAAGCACACAGAAGGUAUAGUGUAAACAGGGGUAGUGAUUCUCUGUUCCCCUGCAUGGAUGUGUCUUCUGUUGAAGUCUCAUAUAGUCAAAGUCAUUGACUACACUGACCAUCAAUGGAUGAACAUAACUUUAGAAAUCUUCAUCUUUUAGCUUCUUUAUUUCUGUCCCUUUAUUUUAUGUAUAUAUUUUGUAGUAGUUGCUAAGUCCUUGUUAAAUUUCAUAGAUGAGUUACCAUUAACAAAUGUGUUAAUAUAUCUCCUGCUUCUUGAAUAGAAAAAUAUUUUUUGUCUCUAAUAUAUUAUAUGCCAUUUGCUAAAACUUUAAUAACAGACAAGCUACAUAUAAUGUAAGAAGCUGUUACAUUAUUUAAUCUGAAAGCUUAGUUUUUACCAAUUAGGAUAAAAGUCUUUUCUUAUAGAUGAUUAUGAGGAAUGUGCCAAAACUAUAGCUUUAAAAUACAGCUACAUAGACUUCUGAACAGAAUGGAGGCAUUCAGGUAAAAGAAUGAGAUGUUGAGGCAAGUGAACACAGAGAUAUUUAGAUAUGUUACAUAUAAAGUGAAUCUCAUAAAAGGAAUUCCAUGCAUUUGUUGGUUCUUAUUUAUCGAAACCUUCAAAGAACAUUUUUUUUUUACAUCUUUAAAGAUUAAAAAAAUUUUUAGAUUUAUAUAUGUUUCUAAUCAGAAUGUUUCUCAUUAUAUCUGUCUUCAAAAUCUCUUUUUUGAAAAUUUUUUUCAUUGAUUAAUUGAUUUCAUGACUCUGUAGACAAUAAGAAUCAUAUAUUCAACAAUAUUUAGGUAAUAAUAACACUAUUAAUAGCAUCUAUAUGUAACUAAUGUAACUCUUUGAAAGAUGUUAACUCAAUCCUGAAAGUUAAUGAAACAUGUGUUAGUCAUAGCAUGACUAUUAUUUAAAGUCUAUUCACAGCUUAGUGAUAACAAAUCACAUGUUAAGUCUCACAAAAUUUGAUAUCAGAAAGCAGUUAUAUCCCAAACAUAAUCCAUUCAUUAUACUAAUAAACAAAAGAUACAAAAGAGACCGAUAGAAUAAAUACUAGGUUUAUAGAGAAUAAGUCCUGGGGUUGAUUUGUGCAACUAAAAGUUGGUGCUCCAGCAUGGCCGCAGUCAAAUACCUGAAACAAAUAAAAGAUAUAUAUAUAUAUAUAUAUAUAUAUAUAUAUAAACAAAAUAUUCAAGCACUAAGGUUUGAAAUAAGAUGUCACUAUUGUUAAUAUCAUCUGUGGAUAAAAUUAAAAAUUGAUGGUAUCAACAGUAUCAACAUAGGUGGUUCGCAGGCAAAAAGCAUUAUUUAGCUAUAAAUUGCAAAUCAGCAUGAAGCAUAAGGAUGUAGAAAAGCAUCAACCUGCUAGAAAUAAGAGCUAAAAGUCUUAAUUAAAGCACCAAGAUAACAGAAAUAACAGGAGGCGAGGAAACGGAAAGAAUUACUACAUUCAAAAGCACAACUAUGAAAGAUUAUGCUGAGUUUCAGCUUUUGGAAAUUUAAUCCUUGAACCUCUUCAGUGUAGACCACCUAGUAAAAAUUCAAGACUGUCACAUUAUAUUCCGUUAGUGUACUGGUUUUAUUUUAUAUAAAAGUAUGCAUACUGUAUUAAAAGGGUAUGUCUGUUUAUAGCUCUUCUAAUAUAUAGUUAUAUAUACAUGUAUAUUACUAUAUAUUUAAUAUAUAUAUAACCAAUAGAAUUAACAAAUAUGAUAUUUGUAAUAUUUAUUUGCACUUUGUAUUAUUAUUGAUAUUUCAGUUUUAGAUAUAUCUUGUGUAUUGGUUAUGAGAAGUGAACAGCAAGGAAUAAGUUCAAAACAAUCAAUAUGUCUUUUAGUGUUAAACCGUUUGUCUAUGAAAAAGAUACAUUGGUCAAAGGUGCACAAGAAAAACCUUGCAGCACACUAUGGGAUAUAUGAAUAAACUGAUUUGUUGUUUGUGUAUUCAGUCUAAAUGAACAGUAGAAUUAGGUGCAAGCAUAGCUGUGUGGUUAAGAAGCUUGUUUCCCAGCCAUGUGAUUUGGAGUUUAGUUCCACUGUGGCACCUGAUGAAAGUGUCUUCUACUAUAACCCCAGCCAACUAAAACCGUGUGAGUGGAUUUUGUAGACAGGAAAUGAAAGAAGCCUGUUAUGUGUGUGUGUGUUUCCAGUCCUCUGUAGAAAACUUGCAUAGCCAUGGAGAGAGGUGAGGGUUGGUGACAGGAAGGACAUCCAACCUUAGAAAUUCUGCCUCAACAAAUUUUGUCUGACCCAUUCAAGUGUGGAAAAAAUGAACAUUAACACAUUAUAACACCAAGAAAAACAUGCAUUUCCAGUAACCAAAUGACUUUUGCCCAGGUGGGGUUCAUCUAGCUCCAGUGCAGUCAGGACCAUAGUUUAACCUUUUGUUACUAUAUUUCUUUUGAAAUAUCUUUCAGUUAAUUUUGAAUAUAUUGAAGAUUUUAGUGAAAUAACUUUGUCUAGUGCUUGGAAAAUCUUGAAGGAAGGCUUUAAUUUGGAUCUUUUUAAAAAUGUAAGCUUAUAUCAUAAAACCGGGGACAGUCUUAGACAGGUUAAUAUAAGAAGGUUUAACUGUCCAUCUAUCACCGGUAUAUUUGAAUGUUGAACUGUCUGAUAUGUACAACUGUGGUGUUGAACAUGAUUGUAUUGGAGUCAGGGUUUUUAUAUGUAUUUGUAUGUAUAUACAGGUUGCAUAAGAUAUUUGAGGACAUCCCUUUUUUGGGUCAUUGCUGCAUUUUUUGCUAACUCUGUAUAAUCUUUGUUUCAGAAAAUAAUAAUGGCAGACCCUCCAUUUACUCAAGAAAUGAAAAGGUAUGCAGUUAUUGUGGUUAUAAAGGCUGAGCAUAGGGAUUUAGAAAUACCUUGAUUUUUAAAAGUUGCCAGAUCUUUUGUCUACAAAGUUUGUAAGGAGCUAGAGACUGGAGAUGGAAACAUAUCACCAGUAUCAAAGCUUAAAAAGCAUUCUAAAUGCUCUGAAAUCAUCAGAACACUUAAAUUUAUCCAGCAAGUUCAACAGACCAUCGAUUACAAUCCCAGAAAGUCCAUGAGGUCAAUUACAAAAGAUCUCCAUGUGUCAGAAGGAACAGUCAGAAAUGUUGUCCCCAAAGACAUCAGAUAUAAGUCUUAUAUGGAUGAGGAAAGGUCAAUUUGUCAGAAAAGUAAAAGAAAAUCACUACAUCAGAUCAAAAAGGUUCUUAAACAAACUGAAAAAUCCAGCAGAAGAUUUGAUUUGAUUUUUCUCAAACGAGAAAAACUUCAACCAAGAUCAAAAAGUUAACAGAAGAAAUGACAGAUGGUUAUGUGCAGACCCUUCUGAAGUUCCAAGUGUCAUGCAUACAAAAUUUCCUGCAACUGUCAUGGUUUUAGGGGUUGUCAGCAAUGAAGGACAUGUGAUGCCUCCUUACUUCUUUCCACAAAUCCUGAGAGUUAACUCUGCCACCUACAUUGAGGUUCUGGAAACAAUUGUUAAGACCUGGAUAGACAGUGUAUGCAAUGGAAGGCCAUAUGUAUUUCAGUAAAACUCUGCACUGUCACCCAUGGCUCUAGUAACACAGGAAUGGAUGGUUGAAAAUUUUCUUGAUCACAUAACCCCUAACAUUUGGCCUCCUAAUUCCCCAGAUCUCAAUCCAUUGGAAUAUUACAUGUGGAGUGUUGUUGAGAGAGAGGUCAAUGAAGACACCCAUAGCACCAAAGAUUCUUUGAAAGCUGCCAUAGUCAGAGUAAUGUCCAAAAUGAACCAGAACCACUUGAUAUGAGCAUGUAGAUGAUUUAGAUCUCAUUAGAAGCAGUUGUUGGAGCUGAAGGUGGUUUUAUUGUAUAAUAUUAUAGAAAAGGUUUAUUUUUAUCCUCAUAGCAUUUUUUGAUAAAUAAAGUUAUUAUCUGUUAUUAUA